Papaver somniferum (opium poppy) is the source of this 303-nucleotide long non-coding RNA. RefSeq lists it as uncharacterized. The transcript has 5 exons. The record is from RefSeq and is a predicted model, not a curated record. Lineage: Eukaryota; Viridiplantae; Streptophyta; Magnoliopsida; Ranunculales; Papaveraceae.
CACAAAUCUAUUAAUCUGGCGUGAGUUUUUGUUCGUUUGAAGGAUUUGGACGUUUGGGUAUCCAUCAGCAACUGGAAGUCUGAAAUAAUCACCAGUUUGUGUAGUUAUCGUGGUGAAAAAGAUGGGGCUCUGGUUUGAACUAAGAAAUCUGCGUGUAAAAUAAUGGAGUACGAUGAACCAAUCAAGUUGAUGGAGAAGGACGGAUCGUUGUUUAGUCAACUGGUGAAAGAAUAUUGGUCACAUGUCCAUUCUGCAGGAGGGUAGGCCAAUGAUAUUCUCUAUGAGCAACAAAAUAAAAGGGAG